UGGGGAAUUUUGGACAAUGGGCGAAAGCCUGAUCCAGCAAUGCCGCGUGUGUGAAGAAGGCCUUCGGGUUGUAAAGCACUUUUGUCCGGAAAGAAAUCCUUGGCUCUAAUACAGUCGGGGGAUGACGGUACCGGAAGAAUAAGCACCGGCUAACUACGUGCCAGCAGCCGCGGUAAUACGUAGGGUGCAAGCGUUAAUCGGAAUUACUGGGCGUAAAGCGUGCGCAGGCGGUUUGCUAAGACCGAUGUGAAAUCCCCGGGCUCAACCUGGGAACUGCAUUGGUGACUGGCAGGCUAGAGUAUGGCAGAGGGGGGUAGAAUUCCACGUGUAGCAGUGAAAUGCGUAGAGAUGUGGAGGAAUACCGAUGGCGAAGGCAGCCCCCUGGGCCAAAUACUGACGCUCAUGCACGAAAAGCGUGGGGGAGCAAAACAGGAUUAGAUACCCUGGGUAGUCCACGCCCUAAAACGAUGUCAACUAGUUGUUGGGGAUUCAAUUUCCUUAGUAACGUAGCU
This 512-nucleotide ribosomal RNA is filed under the name uncultured bacterium. RNAcentral's name for it is "partial 16S ribosomal RNA". It matches the Rfam family "Bacterial small subunit ribosomal RNA", at positions 355 to 853 of the family's 1533-position model. The record is from RNAcentral.